This 512-nucleotide ribosomal RNA is filed under the name uncultured bacterium. Its description in RNAcentral is "partial 16S ribosomal RNA". It matches the Rfam family "Bacterial small subunit ribosomal RNA", at positions 28 to 523 of the family's 1533-position model. The record is from RNAcentral.
GACGAACGCUGGCGGCGUGCCUAAUACAUGCAAGUCGAGCGGAACUGGGGGAGCUUGCUCCUUCCAGUUUAGCGGCGGACGGGUGAGUAACACGUGGGCAACCUGCCCUGCAGAUCGGGGUAACUCCGGGAAACCGGUGCGAAUACCGAAUAGUUUGGCGCCUCUCAUGCGGCGCUACGGAAAGACGGUUUCGGCUGUCACUGCAGGCUCGGCCCGCGGCGCAUUAGCUAGUUGGUGGGGUAACGGCCCACCAAGGCGACGAUGCGUAGCCGACCUGAGAGGGUGACCGGCCACACUGGGACUGAGACACGGCCCAGACUCCUACGGGAGGCAGCAGUAGGGAAUCUUCCGCAAUGGACGCAAGUCUGACGGAGCAACGCCGCGUGAGUGACGAAGGUUUUCGGAUCGUAAAACUCUGUUGUGAGGGAAGAACACGUACCAACUAACUAUUGGUACCUUGACGGUACCUCACCAGAAAGCCACGGCUAACUACGUGCCAGCCGCCGCGGUAA